Molecule: long non-coding RNA, 670 nt
Filed under: Trifolium pratense (red clover)
Lineage: Eukaryota; Viridiplantae; Streptophyta; Magnoliopsida; Fabales; Fabaceae
Description: long non-coding RNA (TPRA_LNC009754)
Source: RNAcentral
AGCGCCCUUUUCAAAUAGGAACUGAAGGCGAAUAAAAUUUAUUUAGGGACUAAAUUUGAAAAGUCGUGAUUUCAAAAAGACUAUAAUUAUUUUUCAGAAUAAAGGCCUAAUGCUAAGUUACAAAGACUCGUGUAUGAGGUUCGCAUUUGUAUAUGGUUCAAAUAUAUCAUUUAGUCUCUUAUUAUUGAUUAAUUUUUGUCUAGCAAGACAUAUAAUAUGGUUUUAAGUUAAUUUAGAUUUAUAUGAAGCUUUAUUCCUUAUAGCUUCUUAUUUGAUAUGUUAUAUAUAAUAAUAUAAUAUUAAUAAUAUAUAUUUAAUUAUCAGCAGUUCAACUUGGAGUUGAAGUAGUAAAUAACAUUCUUUCACUGAUUCAAUGACUGCCCCCACCUUAAUUUUUAAAACAUUGGCACAUGGUAUAAUAUUUAGAGUACAGAGGAAAUUUGCAUACCUGAAUGAGAAUUGAACUUAGCCUGGACCAAAUUUCUAAUUUCUACCCGAGCUAACUGAACCUCCUCAACCACAUCUAGCAAAUUACUUAGAAGUGAACCUGUUAUCUGCAUAAAAUAGCUGGUUAGCUACAACACACUAUGAGGUUGCAAAAGAAAACUUUGAGCCCAAGAAAUAGAAAGCAAAGGGAUAACAGAAAAGACUACUUAAAGGCUUCUUUGAA